This is a non-coding RNA of Phasianus colchicus (ring-necked pheasant), 230 nucleotides long. The record is from RefSeq and is a predicted model, not a curated record. NCBI's taxonomy places the organism in Eukaryota, Metazoa, Chordata, Aves, Galliformes, Phasianidae.
CAAUGGGAGGGCGCGGGGGGCGGAGCUACGGGAGGCCAUGGGGCAGCGCGCGGCGGUGCUGCGGUUCCGCCCCCAAACGGCCCGGAAGUUCGGGGUGAGAGCCAGGCUGCCGGUGCUGCUCCCGGUGGCCGUGGUUGUGGCCGUUCCCUUCGGCUGUUACUUCGGAGCCGCCCCCCCCCAGCGACGGCGGCUGCGGCUGCUGCUGGGGGGGGUGGGGCGGUUCGCCAGGU